Molecule: ribosomal RNA, 424 nt
Filed under: uncultured bacterium
Lineage: Bacteria
Description: partial 16S ribosomal RNA
Rfam family: Bacterial small subunit ribosomal RNA
Source: RNAcentral
AAUAUUGGAUAAUGGGCGAAAGUCUGAUCCAGCUAUGCCGCGUGUUUGAAGAAGGUCUUCGGAUUGUAUUGCACUUUUAGUUGGGAGGAAGGGGGUGAAGCUAAUACCUUUAAUCUUUGGCGUUACCAACAGAAUAAGCACCGGCUAACUCUGUGCCAGCAGCCGCGGUAAUACAGAGGGUGCAAGCGUUAAUCGGAAUUACUGGGCGUAAAGCGCGCGUAGGUGGUUCAGUAAGAUUGAAGUGAAAUCCCCGGGCUUAACCUGGGAACUGCUUUCAUAACUGCUGAGCUAGAGUACGGUAGAGGGUAGUGGAAUUUCCUGUGUAGCGGUGAAAUGCGUAGAUAUAGGAAGGAACACCAGUGGCGAAGGCGACUACCUGGACUGAUACUGACACUGAGGUGCGAAAGCGUGGGGAGCAAACAGG